AUUGAACGCUGGCGGCAUGCCUUACACAUGCAAGUCGAACGGCAGCACGGGUGCUUGCACCUGGUGGCGAGUGGCGAACGGGUGAGUAAUACAUCGGAACAUGUCCUGUAGUGGGGGAUAGCCCGGCGAAAGCCGGAUUAAUACCGCAUACGAUCUACGGAUGAAAGCGGGGGCCCUUCGGGCCUCGCGCUAUAGGGUUGGCCGAUGGCUGAUUAGCUAGUUGGUGGGGUAAAGGCCUACCAAGGCGACGAUCAGUAGCUGGUCUGAGAGGACGACCAGCCACACUGGGACUGAGACACGGCCCAGACUCCUACGGGAGGCAGCAGUGGGGAAUUUUGGGCAAUGGGCGAAAGCCUGAUCCAGCAAUGCCGCGUGUGUGAAGAAGGCCUUCGGGUUGUAAAGCACUUUUGUCCGGAAAGAAAUCCUUGGCCCUAAUACGGUCGGGGGAUGACGGUACCGGAAGAAUAAGCACCGGCUAACUACGUG
This 486-nucleotide ribosomal RNA is filed under the name uncultured bacterium. Its description in RNAcentral is "partial 16S ribosomal RNA". It matches the Rfam family "Bacterial small subunit ribosomal RNA", at positions 30 to 507 of the family's 1533-position model. The record is from RNAcentral.